GACGAACGCUGGCGGCGUGCUUAACACAUGCAAGUCGAACGGAAAGGCCUGCUUUCCCUUGUGGAUUGCGGGUACUCGAGUGGCGAACGGGUGAGUAACACGUGAGUGAUCUGCCCCCAACUUGGGUAUAAGCCUGGGAAACUGGGUCUAAUUCCCGAUAGGACUGCAGGGUGGUGCCUGUGGUGGAAAACGAUUUUCUAGUGGUUGGGGAUGAGCUCGCGGCCUAUCAGCUUGUUGGUGGGGUAAUGGCCUACCAAGGCGGCGACGGGUAGCCGGCCUGGGGGGGUGGACAGGGACAUUGGGACGGGGAUACUGCCCAGAAUCUGCCGGGAGGCAGCCGAUGGGGACAGUGACCGAGUGUGGGAGGCUUGAAGCAGCGAGGACGCGUGGGAGAUGACGGCUGUGGGGUUGUAUACUCCUGUCGUCCGCGGUGAAGGCGCAUGAUUGGGGGGGUGGUGACGGUAGUGGUAGAAGAAGCACCGGCUAACUACGUG
Molecule: ribosomal RNA, 494 nt
Filed under: uncultured bacterium
Lineage: Bacteria
Description: partial 16S ribosomal RNA
Rfam family: Bacterial small subunit ribosomal RNA
Source: RNAcentral